UGAGCCGCGGCAUCGGAAGCGAGUUUUGCGUGGUAUGUGGUAACACAUACUGUGAAGCGUAAACAGCAUGGCUGUAGGGGUAGUAUUCAGCAUCGUAAGACCAAUAACUCCAGAGGACGACGUGGUUGCCUGUGCGGAAGUCAACACGGAGGAAAUCAUUAAAGGCGAGACUUUCUUUGCUCUGGCGGUGCC
This 192-nucleotide non-coding RNA is filed under the name uncultured Blautia sp. The record is from RNAcentral. Lineage: Bacteria; Bacillati; Bacillota; Clostridia; Lachnospirales; Lachnospiraceae.